UNGAUCAAGGCCUUACAGACUAUUUUGUGAC
RNAcentral lists this non-coding RNA (31 nucleotides) under Rattus norvegicus (Norway rat). The record is from RNAcentral. Lineage: Eukaryota; Metazoa; Chordata; Mammalia; Rodentia; Muridae.